AUGGAGUCCUACAUCGCCGCCGUGGUGCAGCCCGAGGGGCGGCUCGCGUGGGACAAAAACCAAACCACGAUCAGCACGCUCUGCUUCAAGGAGUACAUGAACACGAGCAACAGCGCCGACGUCUACGGCAGGAUGAGGUGGACGGGCUACCACGUGAAUAUGAGACAGGCCGAGGCCAACAACUUCACCGUGGUACAGCUCAUCGGCAUGAAUGCGGGCAGGUGA
This 225-nucleotide ribosomal RNA is filed under the name Triticum aestivum (bread wheat). Its description in RNAcentral is "partial small subunit ribosomal RNA". Lineage: Eukaryota; Viridiplantae; Streptophyta; Magnoliopsida; Poales; Poaceae. The record is from RNAcentral.